Molecule: unclassified non-coding RNA, 372 nt
Filed under: uncultured Gammaproteobacteria bacterium
Lineage: Bacteria; Pseudomonadati; Pseudomonadota; Gammaproteobacteria
Description: contains 16S-23S intergenic spacer region
Source: RNAcentral
UCCGGUUUGUCACCGGCAGUCUCAUUAGAGUGCCCUUUCGUAGCAACUAAUGACAAGGGUUGCGCUCGUUGCGGGACUUAACCCAACAUCUCACGACACGAGCUGACGACAGCCAUGCAGCACCUGUGUGCCAGUUCUCUUUCGAGCACCCCCGCAUCUCUGCAGGGUUCUGACCAUGUCAAGGGUAGGUAAGGUUUUUCGCGUUGCAUCGAAUUAAUCCACAUCAUCCACCGCUUGUGCGGGUCCCCGUCAAUUCCUUUGAGUUUUAACCUUGCGGCCGUACUCCCCAGGCGGUCAACUUCACGCGUUAGCUUCGUUACCAAGGAAUUGCUUCCCCGACAACCAGUUGACAUAGUUUAGGGCGUGGACUAC